CCCGCUGAACUUAAGCAUAUCAGUAAGCGGAGGAAAAGAAACUAACCAGGAUUCCCUUAGUAACGGCGAGUGAACCGGGAAGAGCUCAAAUUUGAAAUCUGGCGUCUUUUGGCGUCCGAAUUGUAUUUGAUAGAGCGUCCAUGGGAUAGUCGUCUCCACCCAAGUCCUUUGGAAAAAGGCAGCAUAGAGGGUGAAACUCCCGUCUAGGUGGAGAAGUAUCAGACUAGCCAAUAUCAUGGAAGCCCUAAGAGUCGGAUUGUUUGGGAAUGCAAUCCUAAAUGGGUGGUACAUUCCAUCUAAAGCUAAAUAAUGGUAAGAGACCGAUAGCAAACAAGUACCGUGAGGGAAAGAUGAAAAGAACUCUGAAGAGAGAGUUAAAAGUACGUGAAAUUAUUAAAAGGGAAACGAUUGAAACCAGGUCUGGAACGGAACAGGCAACUGGCACUCUCUCGAUCCGUUCGAUCGAGCGCCAGCCUAGCUGUAUCGUGCCGAGUCGACCCCUCUUGGCCCUCCAUGAAAAGGCUCUUGGAAAGGUGGCACUGGUCGUAACCCGACAAGUUGCUUUACAGUCCAGGAGAGAUCAUGGAGCCCUUCCGCCGAGAGGAUUGCUUCCUUUGCGAAGCCAGGACCCUUAACCGGGACCAGGUCGACGGAAUGGUUUUAACCGACCCGUCUUGAAACACGG
This 685-nucleotide ribosomal RNA is filed under the name uncultured fungus. RNAcentral describes it as "eukaryotic LSU rRNA". It matches the Rfam family "Eukaryotic large subunit ribosomal RNA", at positions 24 to 664 of the family's 3401-position model. Lineage: Eukaryota; Fungi. The record is from RNAcentral.